CUAGAUUAUGAUUCAGUUAGUUACAGGUUUGUCAGACACGUCAUUAAUUACGAUUGAAUGGUAUUUUCCAUGUUUUAAAUGUAAUUUUUCAAGCGACGAUAUAAAUCAAGCUAUCGGGGAUUCCGGAAAACCCACUUGACCUUGCUGGACAUUUAAAAAUUGGGAUUUUCCGUAUACAUACGAUAAGGUACACUGUGUGUAUUAUGUAACAAAUAAAUGGCAUUUACAGACAAGA
This 235-nucleotide long non-coding RNA is filed under the name Mytilus galloprovincialis (Mediterranean mussel). Lineage: Eukaryota; Metazoa; Mollusca; Bivalvia; Mytilida; Mytilidae. The record is from RNAcentral.